UUAGUUUUCCUUAGCUGCAAGACUCUGCACUUGCCUUUAUUGAAUUUCAGAUGGUUCCACUCUGCCCAUCUCUCCAACCUGUCAAGGUCCUUCUGAAGGG
Long non-coding RNA from Neopelma chrysocephalum (saffron-crested tyrant-manakin), 100 nucleotides. RefSeq lists it as uncharacterized. The record is from RefSeq and is a predicted model, not a curated record. NCBI's taxonomy places the organism in Eukaryota, Metazoa, Chordata, Aves, Passeriformes, Pipridae. The transcript is spliced from 3 exons.